Molecule: long non-coding RNA, 797 nt
Organism: Sitophilus oryzae (rice weevil)
Lineage: Eukaryota; Metazoa; Arthropoda; Insecta; Coleoptera; Curculionidae
Exons: 4
Source: RefSeq, a predicted model, not a curated record
UUAUAAUGAGAAUUAAAGUAUUAGUAAUUUAUUUUUGUUACUAAAAAUAAACAAGGCUAAAAUUAAAUUCAGUUUGUUCCUACAUAAAUAUUUUUAGUACUAAACUGCUUUGGAAUGAUUUUUUUGGGGGGACAGCAGCAGGAUUAGGGCCAUCUUCUAGAUGCCAUCAGGUACGUGCGCUAGCGUAGUCGUUUGUUGUAGCAUUAUAUCCCUUUUCCCCCUUUUUUAAAAAUGUUUGUAAGACGCCUGAAAUUUGUAUAAGAUAGUUAUAUAAGUAGUAGAAUAAGAAUUGGUGAGAGUUGGAAAAUAGAAGACGACAGAGAAGAUGGAAGAGGAUUGCUGUGAAAUAGAAGGAAAGGAGAUAGGAGAUGUUUGAGGAAAGGAGGAGGAUUUUGUCCGCUGUAAUGGAAGUUUUUUGAAUGAAAUUUGGAACAACUGUAUUGAGAUGUUAUUGAUAUCUUGGACAUCACGUUUCAUUUAUUUGUGUAUUAUACAAGCCUAUCUAUUGGUGGAAAUGUAAAAUGGCAGCUGGUAUAACACCUUGUAUGAAUUUAUUAUUAGGAACUCCAACGAAGUUUUGACAUAAUUUAGACUGGGAAAAGGCUCACAAAUGACUAGUUUAGGCUGCAGUAGUACCAGGACCUUAAAUUGGCUUUCACAACACAGAUAUCUUUCAAAAAUGAUAUCUGUUCGAGUGAUGUACUGGGCGUUAACAGUUGCUGUUACAAAUCUGCAAAUGAGUUACUACUGUGCAUACGUUUGAGGAAUGUCAAGAAAUGUUUUGAAUGAAACGAUAG